RNAcentral lists this ribosomal RNA (301 nucleotides) under uncultured bacterium. RNAcentral describes it as "partial 16S ribosomal RNA". It matches the Rfam family "Bacterial small subunit ribosomal RNA", at positions 509 to 807 of the family's 1533-position model. The record is from RNAcentral.
CAGUCGCCACGGUAAUACGUAGGUGGCAAGCGUUGUCCGGAAUUAUAGGGCGUAAAGGGCUCGCAGGCGGUUUCUUAAGUCUGAUGUGAAAGCCCCCGGCUCAACCGGGGAGGGUCAUUGGAAACUGGGAAACUUGAGUGCAGAAGAGGAGAGUGGAAUUCCACGUGUAGCGGUGAAAUGCGUAGAGAUGUGGAGGAACACCAGUGGCGAAGGCGACUCUCUGGUCUGUAACUGACGCUGAGGAGCGAAAGCGUGGGGAGCGAACAGGAUUAGAUACCCGCGUAGUCCCUGUCUCUUAUAC